RNAcentral lists this unclassified non-coding RNA (600 nucleotides) under Hevea brasiliensis (rubber tree). The record is from RNAcentral. Lineage: Eukaryota; Viridiplantae; Streptophyta; Magnoliopsida; Malpighiales; Euphorbiaceae.
GAAACUUUCACUUAGUUAAAAUCUAGGGUUUUGUUGUUUAAUCGCUAAAAUUUCCAAUCUCAAACUCCCUCUCAGAGUCGGCCAUGGCGAAGAACAGAAACAAAAAGAAGAAGAACGGCGCCGUUUCAAUGGACAUCACGGAGCCCACCGUCUCAGAUGUUCCUCAAGCAAUGGAUACUUCAGAGUCUGUAGUUCAAAAAUCAGCUUCUGGGUUUCCUAAUAGAAAGGUGAAGGGAAGACCAAUGAAGAGAUCAAAAAAUGUUCGAAAGAUGAAAGCAGUGGCAAAAGCUAUAUCAAAAAAUGAGCAGUCUGUUGAGAAAGUUUUGAAGAAUGAGAGCAAAACAGCAAGAACUCAAUCAGCAAAACUGCUGUACGACUGAAUAUGAGAAACUGGUAUUCACAACCAUAGUUUUUUUUUUUAGAUAUAUUUUUUUGGGUAUCACUAUGUUAAUGUUAGUAUAUUCCUCUGCUACGUUGAAUGUAAUUCAAUUAUUUUUCCGCUCACUUCAUUAGCAUAUAGAAUCACUUAAAUCUAUAAUGUGCAAGUUCAAAAUUGUUGGCAUAUUAAUAUGGUUGGUUGGUAUUUCGAUGAACACGACC